RNAcentral lists this long non-coding RNA (303 nucleotides) under Elaeis guineensis (African oil palm). Its description in RNAcentral is "long non-coding RNA (EGUI_LNC013730)". The record is from RNAcentral. Lineage: Eukaryota; Viridiplantae; Streptophyta; Magnoliopsida; Arecales; Arecaceae.
UAUAGUUACAACAAUAAGAGCAUUUGCAACCGUAAAAUAAAAGGGCACAUUAUAUGGUUGCAACCAUAGAACAGUCUGCAAGUAUUCUAUUCCGAUCUGAUGGCUACAAUUAAGAAAUAUUAUUUUCUUAUCCAAUUAAUGAGUGGUCAGAUGACGGCCAAGAUGUGCUAUUUAGCUAACAUGUGAGCAGCCCACCGAGCUGCAUAGUGUUCUGCGUCUAAGCUUCCCCUCUUUUUAUUUUUUAACCUCAUUCUAAUGAUAAAUUUUAAGCAGCAAAAGAAAGAAAUUGAUGAAAGAUGAGAC